This 1086-nucleotide ribosomal RNA is filed under the name Caecatemnus sp. JM-2008. RNAcentral describes it as "eukaryotic LSU rRNA". It matches the Rfam family "Eukaryotic large subunit ribosomal RNA", at positions 82 to 919 of the family's 3401-position model. The record is from RNAcentral. Lineage: Eukaryota; Metazoa; Arthropoda; Arachnida; Pseudoscorpiones; Atemnidae.
AGUAACUGCGAGUGAACGGGGAAGAGUCCAUAGCCGAAUCCCGCGCUUCGCGGCGCGGGAAAUGUGGCGUAGGGGAGUCGACCUUCUUGUAGUGCGGCCGGCGGCGCAAGUCCCCAUGAGAGGGGCACUUGCCCGGAGAGGGUGCUAGGCCCGUAUCGCUUCCGGCUUCGCGCGACAAGUCGUCGGCCUCCCGGGAGUCGGGUUGCUUGGGAGUGCAGCCCAAAGUGGGUGGUAAACUCCACCUAAGACUAAAUAUCCCCGAGAGACCGAUAGCAAACAAGUACCAUGAGGGAAAGUUGAAAAGCACUUUGAAGAGAGAGUUCAAGAGUACGUGAAACCGUUCAGAGGUAAACCGAUGAGGCCUCGAAGUCCUAAGUCGGUGGUGCACUCAGGUCGUCGGUUCGGCCGGCACCGUUGGACGCUGCUCCACGAGCGGAGGAGACCCGACGGGUUCGCCGGCAGCGAGGACGCACCGCACUUGCAUCCCCCGUCUGACAGGGCGUCGCAACCGGUUGGGAGGCCGUCCGAGGAAGGGUCGAAAGGUAGCCGCCGUUCCCGUUUUUUUACGGAUCGGAGGUGUUACAGUCUUCCCGAUUCCCGACGGGUCGCCCGACCGGAAUGAUAAACCAAGUUCCCUUCCCACGAGCGGGAGCGGCGGAUCGCGGGUAGCGGUCUCGGCGCGCCGUGCCACGCUGCGCGUGAGCGGUUCGUCGGGGUCCGUCUAGCCUUCGAACUCUGCUGCGGCGGAGCCGGUUGUUGGCGGCGAGUAGGUCGGUUGCUCAUCGGACCCGUCUUGAAACACGGACCAAGGAGUCCAAAGCGCGUGCGAGUUCCCGGGACUUGAUUAGGCCCGAGGGCGCAAUGAAAGUGAAGGGCGGUGCGGCCGCCCGAGUUGGGAUCGAAUUUCCUGCGGGGAUUCGCGCACCAACGGCCCGUUCGCGUCGGUUACGGCGGGGCGGAGCUAGAGCACGCUCUUUGGGACCCGAUAGAUGGUGAACUAUGCCUGGGCAGGACGAAGCCAGGGGAAACUCUGGUGGAGGUCCGUAGCGAUUCUGACGUGCAAAUCGAUCGUCAGACCUUGGUAUA